Molecule: ribosomal RNA, 460 nt
Filed under: uncultured bacterium
Lineage: Bacteria
Description: partial 16S ribosomal RNA
Rfam family: Bacterial small subunit ribosomal RNA
Source: RNAcentral
CCUACGGGAGGCAGCAGGGAGGAAUAUUGGUCAAUGGCCGUAAGGCUGAACCAGCCAAGUCGCGUGAAGGAAGAAGGAUCUAUGGUUUGUAAACUUCUUUUAUAGGGGAAUAAAGGUAUCCACGUGUGGAUAUUUGCAUGUACCCUAUGAAUAAGCAUCGGCUAACUCCGUGCCAGCAGCCGCGGUAAUACGGAGGAUGCGAGCGUUAUCCGGAUUUAUUGGGUUUAAAGGGUGCGUAGGCGGGUUGUUAAGUCAGUUGUGAAAGUUUGCGGCUCAACCGUAAAAUUGCAGUUGAUACUGGCAGCCUUGAGUACAGUAGAGGUAGGCGGAAGUCGUGGUGUAGCGGUGAAAUGCUUAGAUAUCACGAAGAACUCCGAGUGCGAAGGCAGCCUGCGGGACUUUAACUGACGCUGAUGCUCGAAAGUGUGGGUAUCAAACAGGAUUAGAUACCCUGGUAGUC